This is a long non-coding RNA of Oncorhynchus keta (chum salmon), 561 nucleotides long. RefSeq lists it as uncharacterized. NCBI's taxonomy places the organism in Eukaryota, Metazoa, Chordata, Actinopteri, Salmoniformes, Salmonidae. The record is from RefSeq and is a predicted model, not a curated record. The transcript has 3 exons.
UUCUUCCCCUGCAUUCUUUUCCAAAUGUUCUUCCUAGUUGCCUGGGAGAGGUUGUGAUGUGUGAGGGGAUGAUAUGUUCUUCCUAGUUGCCUGGGAGAGGUUGUGAUGUGUGAGGGGAUGAUAUGUUCUUCCUAGUUGCCUGGGAGAGGUUGUGAUGUGUGAGGGGAUGAUAUGUUCUUCCUAGUUGCCUGGGAGAGGUUGUGAUGUGUGAGGGGAUGAUAUGUUCUUCCUAGUUGCCUGGGAGAGGUUGUGAUGUGUGAGGGGAUGAUAUGUUCUUCCUAGUUGCCUGGGAGAGGUUGUGAUGUGUGAGGGGAUGAUAUGUUCUUCCUAGUUGCCUGGGAGAGGUUGUGAUGUGUGAGGGGAUGAUAUGUUCUUCCUAGUUGCCUGGGAGAGGUUGUGAUGUGUGAGGGGAUGAUAUGUUCUUCCUAGUUGCCUGGGAGAGGUUGUGAUGUGUGAGGGGAUGAUAUGUUCUUCCUAGUUGCCUGGGAGAGGUUGUGAUGUGUGAGGGGAUGAUAUGUUCUUCCUAGUUGCCUGGGAGAGGUUGUGAUGUGUGAGGGGAUG